Molecule: ribosomal RNA, 44 nt
Filed under: uncultured Craterellus
Lineage: Eukaryota; Fungi; Basidiomycota; Agaricomycetes; Cantharellales; Hydnaceae
Description: partial 28S ribosomal RNA
Source: RNAcentral
AUGACCUCAAUCNGAUGAGACUACCCGCUGAACUUAAGCAUAUC